This 743-nucleotide ribosomal RNA is filed under the name uncultured bacterium. Its description in RNAcentral is "bacterial SSU rRNA". It matches the Rfam family "Bacterial small subunit ribosomal RNA", at positions 620 to 1366 of the family's 1533-position model. The record is from RNAcentral.
CUGCAUUUGAAAACUGUGGUUCUUGAGAGCCCGGAGGGGUAAAUGGAAUUCCCAGUGUAGCGGUGAAAUGCGUAGAUAUUGGGGAGGAACACCAGUGGCGAAGGCGAUUUACUGGACGGCAACUGACGCUGAGACACGAAAGUGUGGGGAGCAAACAGGAUUAGAUACCCUGGUAGUCCACACUGUAAACGAUGAAUGCUAGGUGUGGGGAAGCAAUUCUCCGUGCCGGAGUUAACACAAUAAGCAUUCCGCCUGGGGAGUACGGCCGCAAGGUUGAAACUCAAAGGAAUUGACGGGAGCCCGCACAAGCAGUGGAGUAUGUGGUUUAAUUCGACGCAACGCGAAGAACCUUACCAGGACUUGACAUCCCAGGAAUCCGGCGUAAUGGCUGGAGUGUCCCUUCGGGGAAAUCUGGUGACAGGUGGUGCAUGGUUGUCGUCAGCUCGUGUCGUGAGAUGUUGGGUUAAGUCCCGCAACGAGCGCAACCCUUACGGUUAGUUGCUACGCAAGAGCACUCUAGCCGGACUGCCGUUGACAAAACGGAGGAAGGUGGGGACGACGUCAAAUCAUCAUGCCCCUUACGUUCUGGGCUACACACGUACUACAAUGGCGCAAACAAAGGGAAGCAAUAUCGCGAGAUGGAGCAAAUCCCAUAAAAGGCGUCCCAGUUCGGACUGCAGGCUGCAACUCGCCUGCACGAAGUUGGAAUUGCUAGUAAUCGCGGAUCAGCAUGCCGCGGUGAA